Molecule: long non-coding RNA, 646 nt
Filed under: Homo sapiens (human)
Lineage: Eukaryota; Metazoa; Chordata; Mammalia; Primates; Hominidae
Description: HSALNT0202057
Source: RNAcentral
AUGAUUGAAUGAAGGAGUAAGAAUAUGAAAGAAAUGCCCUUGGCUUUGUUCUUGGCAGAUUAAACAGGCAUAUGACAUCUAUUAAUGGGUUAAUAUUAGAUUAAAUGGGUUAAUUAGAUUAAAUGAGUUAAGAUUAAAUGGGUUAAUAUAUAUAAGCACACAAAACAGUACCUAGCGCAUGGGAAGCAUGUGCCUGGCUGACUACUAUUGUUAAUGUGAUGCCUGCAUCUGUUCGACUACUCACAUCUUUAGGUCAUGGCAUACCCAUCUCAAGGACAAUCUCUGAGAUGGUCUCACUUGACUGACUAAGCCACUCCAACUGGGGGGCUAGAUAAGAGAAAGGUGGCAAGUGUUUGAUUUCCCCUAUAUAACACGUGAAAUGGGUAGCUUAGGUUCUUUAAGGCAUCAUUAUCAGAUUUAAUAAUGGUGGGCACUGGUAAAAAGAAUGAUUAGAAAGGCUUACUUGACUCAGUUAAAAAGACUUAAUUGGAAGGGUUGUUCAUUCUGUCAGAAUCAACAUGGAAAUAUUGAAAUAGGGCUUACCAUGACCCAGGUGACAGAUACCUUUAGACUUCCCUGACCGAUAUAUACCUACACAUCUAAGAACACUACACCAUGGGGCCGGGUGCGGUAGCUCACGCCUGUA